Molecule: ribosomal RNA, 679 nt
Filed under: uncultured bacterium
Lineage: Bacteria
Description: bacterial SSU rRNA
Rfam family: Bacterial small subunit ribosomal RNA
Source: RNAcentral
GGCGAGCGGCGGACGGGUGAGUAAUGCCUAGGGAUCUGCCCAGUCGAGGGGGAUAACAGUUGGAAACGACUGCUAAUACCGCAUACGCCCUACGGGGGAAAGGAGGGGACCUUGGGGCCUUCCGCGAUUGGAUGAACCUAGGUGGGAUUAGCUAGUUGGUGAGGUAAUGGCUCACCAAGGCGACGAUCCCUAGCUGUUCUGAGAGGAUGAUCAGCCACACUGGGACUGAGACACGGCCCAGACUCCUACGGGAGGCAGCAGUGGGGAAUAUUGCACAAUGGGGGAAACCCUGAUGCAGCCAUGCCGCGUGUGUGAAGAAGGCCUUCGGGUUGUAAAGCACUUUCAGUAGGGAGGAAAGGGUGAGUCUUAAUACGGCUCAUCUGUGACGUUACCUACAGAAGAAGGACCGGCUAACUCCGUGCCAGCAGCCGCGGUAAUACGGAGGGUCCGAGCGUUAAUCGGAAUUACUGGGCGUAAAGCGUGCGCAGGCGGUUUGUUAAGCGAGAUGUGAAAGCCCUGGGCUCAACCUAGGAAUAGCAUUUCGAACUGGCGAACUAGAGUCUUGUAGAGGGGGGUAGAAUUCCAGGUGUAGCGGUGAAAUGCGUAGAGAUCUGGAGGAAUACCGGUGGCGAAGGCGGCCCCCUGGACAAAGACUGACGCUCAUGCACGAAAGCGUGGG